AAUAGAUACCCUGGUAGUCCACGCCGUAAACGAUGAGUGCUAAGUGUUAGAGGGUUUCCGCCCUUUAGUGCUGCAGCUAACGCAUUAAGCACUCCGCCUGGGGAGUACGGUCGCAAGACUGAAACUCAAAGGAAUUGACGGGGGCCCGCACAAGCGGUGGAGCAUGUGGUUUAAUUCGAAGCAACGCGAAGAACCUUACCAGGUCUUGACAUCCUCUGACAACUCUAGAGAUAGAGCGUUCCCCUUCGGGGGACAGAGUGACAGGUGGUGCAUGGUUGUCGUCAGCUCGUGUCGUGAGAUGUUGGGUUAAGUCCCGCAACGAGCGCAACCCUUGAUCUUAGUUGCCAGCAUUUAGUUGGGCACUCUAAGGUGACUGCCGGUGACAAACCGGAGGAAGGUGGGGAUGACGUCAAAUCAUCAUGCCCCUUAUGACCUGGGCUACACACGUGCUACAUUGGCCGGUACAAAGGGCUGCAAAACCGCGAGGUUGAGCGAAUCCCAAAAAGCCGGUCCCGGUUCGGAUUGGAGGCUGC
This 533-nucleotide ribosomal RNA is filed under the name uncultured bacterium. RNAcentral describes it as "bacterial SSU rRNA". It matches the Rfam family "Bacterial small subunit ribosomal RNA", at positions 777 to 1308 of the family's 1533-position model. The record is from RNAcentral.